RNAcentral lists this ribosomal RNA (497 nucleotides) under uncultured bacterium. Its description in RNAcentral is "partial 16S ribosomal RNA". It matches the Rfam family "Bacterial small subunit ribosomal RNA", at positions 28 to 507 of the family's 1533-position model. The record is from RNAcentral.
GAUGAACGCUGGCGGCGUGCCUAAUACAUGCAAGUCGAGCGAACAGACGAGGAGCUUUCUCCUCUGACGUUAGCGGCGGACGGGUGAGUAACACGUGGAUAACCUACCUAUAAGACUUGGGUAACUUCGGGAAACCGGAGCUAAUACCGGAGAAUAUAUUGAACCGCAUGGUUCAAUAGUGAAAGACGGCUUUCCCGUCUCUUAUAGACGGAUCCGCGCCGCAUUAGCUAGUUGGUAAGGUAACGGCUUACCAAGGCAACGAUGCGUAGCCGACCUGAGAGGGUGAUCGGCCACACUGGAACUGAGACACGGUCCAGACUCCUACGGGAGGCAGCAGUAGGGAAUCUUGCGCAAUGGGCGAAAGCCUGACGGAGCAAUGCCGCGUGAGUGAUGAAGGUCUUCGGAUCGUAAAACUCUGUUAUUAGGGAAGAACAAAUGUGUAAGUAACUAUGCACGUCUUGACGGUACCUAAUCAGAAAGCCACGGCUAACUACGUG